This 490-nucleotide ribosomal RNA is filed under the name uncultured bacterium. RNAcentral describes it as "partial 16S ribosomal RNA". It matches the Rfam family "Bacterial small subunit ribosomal RNA", at positions 30 to 507 of the family's 1533-position model. The record is from RNAcentral.
AUUGAACGCUGGCGGCAGGCCUAACACAUGCAAGUCGAACGGUAACAGGAAGCAGCUUGCUGCUUUGCUGACGAGUGGCGGACGGGUGAGUAAUGUCUGGGAAACUGCCCGAUGGAGGGGGAUAACUACUGGAAACGGUAGCUGAUACCGCAUAACGUCGCAAGACCAAAGAGGGGGACCUUAGGGCCUCUUGCCAUCGGAUGUGCCCAGAUGGGAUUAGCUAGUAGGUGGGGUAACGGCUCACCUAGGCGACGAUCCCUAGCUGGUCUGAGAGGAUGACCAGCCACACUGGAACUGAGACACGGUCCAGACUCCUACGGGAGGCAGCAGUGGGGAAUAUUGCACAAUGGGCGCAAGCCUGAUGCAGCCAUGCCGCGUGUAUGAAGAAGGCCUUCGGGUUGUAAAGUACUUUCAGCGGGGAGGAAGGGAGUAAAGUUAAUACCUUUGCUCAUUGACGUUACCCGCAGAAGAAGCACCGGCUAACUCCGUG